UUGAUUUAAAUUAUUGUGGGUCUACAUUUUAAAAAUUGAACCAACACAAAGUGGUGAAACAUACAUUAAUUUUAUUCAA
RNAcentral lists this microRNA precursor (79 nucleotides) under Medicago truncatula (barrel medic). RNAcentral's name for it is "MIR5269 microRNA precursor family". It matches the Rfam family "MIR5269 microRNA precursor family". The record is from Rfam by way of RNAcentral. Lineage: Eukaryota; Viridiplantae; Streptophyta; Magnoliopsida; Fabales; Fabaceae.